ACCAAAUCCUCAAGAAGAGCAUUCCUCUGCAGAUCGCGGAAGAGCCAGGGCUGUUUGUCAGAGGUCAGGUGGGCUAUGAUACCUGCAGCAAAAUAGCUCACUUCUAUUUCUUUGCUAUGAAGUAAACUGCUGAUAUGCUUCAUCACAUCUUCAGUCACCAGCUUGGAAGAAAACUCUCUGACUUCAGCUAUGUUGUUCUACAGGUCACAUGAAGCAGUGAACAUCAGGGACAGGAAGGGAGGAGAAUAAGGAAUUAGCUUUUCUCUCUUUCCUACUGCUCAUCUCAGAUCCCGCCCAACAGCCUAAUCCCCAAAUCCCACCCCUUUAGCAUGAGCAUGAUCAUUACAAAUAAAUCACCACAUGAGCACUUGCUCAGUACCAGGCAUACUACUAGGUAAAUGUCUUUUUCUAACUGCCUUAUCUCUCAUUUAAUACAAGAAUCAGGUUCACAUUACUCAUAACUGCAUGAAUUAAAACACAAAACCAGGCCUGACAAACAACAUAAUCAGGGGUCUGCUAGAUGUUACAUUAUCUUGACAAGUUUAACAAUAGGCAGGUAAUAUUUGUUUUAUUAUGUUGCAUUAUUUAAUUUUCAAUGCUGUGUAACAAAUUACCAUAAACUUAGUGGCUUAAAAUAAUAUGAAUUUACCUCCUCACUGUUUCUGUGGAACAGGAAUCUGAGCGGGGUCCUCUUUCUACUCUGAGAUCUCCUAAGGCUGAAUUUCUCAAGUGCAAUCUCCACUGAUGCUGGCAGAAUUUGUUUCUUGUGGCUGUAGGACUGAGAGAUCCAGUCUCUUGCUAAAAGCCACCUUGAGUUCCAAGAGGUUGCCCAGUUCCUUGAAAUGUGGGUGUCUCCCUUUUCCAACUACUAACUUCAAUAUAUUUUGCUCCUUUCGAGUUAGAAGCAAGAGUCCUUAAAGUGUGUUUACUAGCAAGAUGGAUUCAUAAAUACAUUGUAACAUAAUAAGGAUGUGAUAACCUAUCAUCUUUGCCAUAUUCUAGCUGUUAGAAGCAAGUUAACAGGUCCUGUUCACACUCCAGGAGAAGAGGACAUUACAAAGAGAAACAAAUACAGGAGGUUGAAAUCAUUGGUCAGUCACUUGGGGUCUGACCACACAACUGAAAAAGCAAAGGUUUGAAGAGUCAAAGUAAAUAGAACAGUUACUUAAAUCAAUGCUAACUUCUGCUAUUGCUUCAGCAACUUCCUAGAAAGUACACCAUGGACACUAGUUUGCUGAAAAGAACAAAGGAAAGUAGAGGUGAAAUUGUACUGUUUUUGAGAAUCCCCUCAACCUCAGCUCCUUUUUUUCCAGAGAUGAGAUAUGACCCUUGUAAGGGUUAGGUCUAUUAUAUUGUUUGGAUUUAAUGUCUAAUAGACCAAACAAUAUAAAUCUUUGGAAGUCUGAAAGGCUCAAAAAUAUUUUAAAAAAUGGAAAAUCUAAAUUUUUUCCCUUGUCCUCCCCAUCUUUGGACAAGUGCUGGGGAUCAAACCUGUGACCCUGAACAUGCUAGGCAAGUACUCUUGUCACUGAGCUAGCUAUUAACUAGCUAGUAAGAUAUAUAAGGCUUUAGUCCAACUUUCUGGUAUUAUUUCCCAUAGCUAGUCUCUUUUCCAGUUUCUCCCAAAAUUUCAAUUCUGAAAUUUUCUGUUUCGUAGUAUCUCUUUAAUGAUUAUAUUGUCUCUAGCCAAAAAUGACUUUUGUCCCUACCUUCUGCUUUUCUGUAACUUUUUGAUUUCCAACAAUAAUCAUUUAUCCCUCACUGUGAUGCCUUUCACAUCUACUGUGUUGUGAGUCCUAUAGGUGCCAGGUAUAUGAAGAGUAUAAGUCACAAUCCUCAUUUUCAAGAAGUUUAUGAUUAGAAGCAAAGGCUCCCACAGGACUUAUGCUUCUCUUCUAGCAAUACAAGAUGCAGUCUUCAAGGAGAGAGCUGUGUACACAGGUCUAACACUACCUCCUAAACUUGGAAAGUAUAUGUACACUCAGCCUGAAAGAUUUAUUUGUUGUAUCUCCCACUGCACUCAGCAUGACAAAAUAAAGGUAUGCAUGGUACAUUUUUA
This 2059-nucleotide long non-coding RNA is filed under the name Marmota monax (woodchuck). The record is from RNAcentral. Lineage: Eukaryota; Metazoa; Chordata; Mammalia; Rodentia; Sciuridae.